AAGUCGUAACAAGGUAACCGUAGGUGAACCUGCGGUUGGAUCAUUAAAAAAUAUCUUUUUUGAGGCUAGUGGGGGAUCUUUUUUUAGGGUCCCCUCUAGUUUUCAUUAACCCAACCUUUGUGAACUUAGAUUUUUGUAUUUUUUGGGUGCGGGUUAGGCCUUUUUUUUUAAAAAGGAGGCCUUGGAAGUGUUUUUUUGAAGGCUUGAAGGAAAAAGAGUUUAAGGCCUUUUUUUCUUCUUCCUUUCUUUUAAACGACCCACCCAAUUGGGCCUUAGGGAAUUUCGAUUCCUUUUUUUUAAGGCCUACUUUUUAAGCCUAUAAUUUAGAAAAACUUGUCUAGAAAAUUUUUGUUGUAUUAACAGAAAAAAAAACAACUUUUGACAACGGAUCUCUAGGCUCUC
RNAcentral lists this unclassified non-coding RNA (402 nucleotides) under fungal sp. Its description in RNAcentral is "partial internal transcribed spacer region". The stretch from base 1 to 46 matches the Rfam family "Eukaryotic small subunit ribosomal RNA", at positions 1786 to 1831 of the family's 1831-position model. The record is from RNAcentral. Lineage: Eukaryota; Fungi.